This 459-nucleotide long non-coding RNA is filed under the name Ananas comosus (pineapple). RNAcentral's name for it is "long non-coding RNA (ACOM_LNC028816)". Lineage: Eukaryota; Viridiplantae; Streptophyta; Magnoliopsida; Poales; Bromeliaceae. The record is from RNAcentral.
ACGGUGUCGGCGUCGGUGUCGGCGAAGAUGCAUCGUCGUCGGAGGCAGCAGAGAAGGAGGGAGAAUGAGAGACGGGAAGGGCAGGGAAGAGCGAGAGAGGCGCCGUCGUCGGAAACUGUGGAGGAGAGUCAGAGAAGAAAAGAAAAGAAAAAUGCAAAAAAAAAAAGUCACAGCCCAGCCUUAGGGGGAUCGGAGGCGAGGAAGGUGGGGGCGCCGGCGGCGACGCCGCUCUGUCUUCGCCGCUCUCUGGGAAGAGAAAAAAAAAGAACGAGAAAAAAAAGAGAAAAGAAAAGGGUAUAAGGGCACCUCCGCUCCGCCUUCGCCGCUCUCUGGGAAGAAAAAGAAAAAAGAACGAGAGAAAAAAAGAGGAGAGAGAAAGAGGAAAGAGAAAAAGGUAUAAGGGUAUUUUGGUCAGUUUGCUGAAAAAGAGGACCGAAUCUGCAAAAGCCAAAAAGAUGG